GAGAGUAUGACGUAGAUGCCUUAGUUGGUAAAUAUAUUGAUUUGAUGUACCAAAUUUGAUAGGACAAGAAAUCGGGCUGAUUGCAUCCAACCAUGCCAGUUUUGAUGCUAUCAUGCUAAAACAGGCAUAAAUUUCUUAUUUGGAGUUAGAAUCGCCUGUAAAACCCCAAUUCGAAAAACUCUUUUCAUGCUCUAUGUGCUUGA
RNAcentral lists this long non-coding RNA (203 nucleotides) under Elaeis guineensis (African oil palm). RNAcentral describes it as "long non-coding RNA (EGUI_LNC016667)". Lineage: Eukaryota; Viridiplantae; Streptophyta; Magnoliopsida; Arecales; Arecaceae. The record is from RNAcentral.